AAAAGCUGUAUCGAUUGUUGAGAUCUGGCGACUUGUUUAAAUUUCAUCAGCCUCACUUCUAUGAACUCUCAGAGCUGAUUACCAACUCCUACCACUGUUAACCCUCAUCCAGGAAAAAGCUUAUGUCUUUAACAUUCUGAGUGGGCUUCAGCAUCCUUGCAUAUGUUCAAUUCUUAAAAACCUGUUGAAAUAAAAGAUCAGGAGACAUAGGAAGGAUGCCAGAAGAGAGCGUGGCCUCAUGUGUACCAGCUCUCUGCUCUCCUUUGCCUUGGGACGUUCCAUCCCUGGAAGUUUCCCUGCCCACAUCUUUGUAGAGAGUCCAUUCUCCAAGCUUCAGUGUGUCAUCUGUGAGGACUGUGACCAACCUGGUACAUCGCCUCAGGGCAUUCAUUUCAGGCUCCUUCUAAAUGGUCAAGUUUUCAAGAUUGUUUUGGCUCUAGCAAAACAAGUUGGAACAUUCACAUCAUCCAACAAAACACCAACAUUUUUGUAAUGGCCUGCAAGGCCUUCCGAGAUCUGCCUCCUGCAACUCAGCUUCUCCUGUGCUCUCCUUCUGGACUCACUCUGCCUCAGCAACACUGGUCCCUGUUGCCCCACCAAUAUACCAGUCAUCUAUGAACUGACUCUGUCUCAAAAAAAAAAAAGAAAAAAAAGAAAAGAAAGAACGAAAAAAAAAAACUAGGACAUGGCUAACAGGAAUGGGGACAAAGAAUCUGCACUGAUGAGGAAACUGAAACAGAAAAUCCAGAGUAAAUUCCACCAGGCCACACAGCAAGGUCUGAUAGAGCCAGGAGAGACUUUAUGAAAUCCAGACUCUCACACUAAUGCUCUAUCAGCUAGACCUCCAUGUGAGUCUCCCCAAUGUAGGUAGGAAGUGCUUUCCC
Molecule: long non-coding RNA, 884 nt
Filed under: Pan troglodytes (chimpanzee)
Lineage: Eukaryota; Metazoa; Chordata; Mammalia; Primates; Hominidae
Description: lincRNA
Source: RNAcentral